This 468-nucleotide ribosomal RNA is filed under the name uncultured bacterium. RNAcentral's name for it is "partial 16S ribosomal RNA". It matches the Rfam family "Bacterial small subunit ribosomal RNA", at positions 28 to 507 of the family's 1533-position model. The record is from RNAcentral.
GACGAACGCUGGCGGCGUGCUUAACACAUGCAAGUCGAACGGAAAGGCCCUGCUUUUGUGGGGUGCUCGAGUGGCGAACGGGUGAGUAACACGUGAGUAACCUGCCCUUGACUUUGGGAUAACUUCAGGAAACUGGGGCUAAUACCGGAUAGGAGCUCCUGCUGCAUGGUGGGGGUUGGAAAGUUUCGGCGGUUGGGGAUGGACUCGCGGCUUAUCAGCUUGUUGGUGGGGUAGUGGCUUACCAAGGCUUUGACGGGUAGCCGGCCUGAGAGGGUGACCGGACACAUUGGGACUGAGAUACGGCCCAGACUCCUACGGGAGGCAGCAGUGGGGAAUAUUGCACAAUGGGCGGAAGCCUGAUGCAGCAACGCCGAGUGCGGGAUGACGGCCUUCGGGUUGUAAACCGCUUUCGCCUGUGACGAAGCGUGAGUGACGGUAAUGGGUAAAGAAGCACAGGCUAACUACGUG